This 214-nucleotide long non-coding RNA is filed under the name Pelobates cultripes (western spadefoot toad). The record is from RNAcentral. Lineage: Eukaryota; Metazoa; Chordata; Amphibia; Anura; Pelobatidae.
CUGAAGAAUUCAAGAUAACAGCAAAUAAACUUUAAUAAUUGGUCCAGGUGUUAAGUGGUUAGUUAGAUACCCUCCCAUCAACAGGUGAUGUCAUCCUUGACACGGGGGUGGACACAAGAUGUAGGCGCCAUCUUAUUAGCACGAGGUGUUCACUCGAUGGGAGGGGUGCUUUGGCAGGCAUUUUGAGUAGUUAGUAUUGUUAGCUUCAAGGUUC